GAUGAAGAACGUAGUGAAAUGCGAUAAGUAGUGUGAAUUGCAGAAUUCAGUGAAUCAUCGAAUCUUUGAACGCACAUUGCGCCCCAUGGUAUUCCGUGGGGCAUGCCUGUUCGAGCGUCAUUUACCCCCUCAAGCUCCGCUUGGUGUUGGGCGUCUGUCCCGCUUCGCGCGCGGACUCGCCCCAAAGGUAUUGGCAGCGGUCGUGCCAGCUUCUCGCGCAGCACAUUGCGCUUCUCGAGGCACCGGUGGGCCCGCGUCCAUCAAGCUCACCCCCCAGUUUGACCUCGGAUCAGGUAGGGAUACCCGCUGAACUUAAGCAUAUCAAUAAGCGGAGGA
Molecule: unclassified non-coding RNA, 336 nt
Filed under: soil metagenome
Description: partial contains 5.8S ribosomal RNA, internal transcribed spacer 2, and large subunit ribosomal RNA
Rfam family: 5.8S ribosomal RNA (bases 1-120)
Source: RNAcentral